Long non-coding RNA from Pseudophryne corroboree (corroboree frog), 1018 nucleotides. RefSeq lists it as uncharacterized. The record is from RefSeq and is a predicted model, not a curated record. Lineage: Eukaryota; Metazoa; Chordata; Amphibia; Anura; Myobatrachidae. The transcript has 4 exons.
UCUUCUAUGCUGACUGUCGUGUGCUGCCUGUUGUGCCCUAAGACGGGGCACAUGGAACAAGUUACCCCAGCCCCCUCUGCUGCCUUUGAUAAUCGCAGCAGUGCACUAUUGCACUGCUGAGCUGGAAACAUGAAUGGUCCGAAAAGGGGGCGGAGCUACACGGCACUUUACUCAGUGCCAGGCCAGCCAGCACCAUCGAAGAGAGGAGGGGAGAGGAGCAGCAGCAGCAGUACACACCGAAGCCUAAAUAUACGAAAGCAAGCCACCACUUCCAGAACCCAAGCAACACUGUCAAGAGCUGUGGAUGCUGGCGAUACAGGAACUUCAAUAUCGCAUCACAGUCCACAAAGACGUCCUUCACAGGGGUCUGGCAGCCACACGAGCAGGCCUAGCAAGAGACGUCAUCCUGAUGUCGCACCAACACCAGCAUUAAGCACACACCCACGUUGUAUUUCAACUGUGUUGCCUCAGCCACCAGAACACAUUUUGGAGAGUACUCAAUCACAGGGACCACAUUCCCCUCAGCUGAACCAGACAUCAUGCCCCCGGAAGCCCAGCAGGAAUCUGAACAGGAAACAUACACCCUCCAUCUGCAAGCAAUUGAUGUUAACCAACCAAGCACGCCUCAGGAAUGUACCCCGCCGCCUCAAAUGUCACCACACCCACAAUAGAGCCAAACAACCCCCCCGCAACAACCUGAACCAUCAUUUUGGGUAACAUGGAACCAACAACAGGCACAGAAUAUUGAUUGCCUACGCACACACACCCAAUACCUAAGGAAAGGAAAUAUAUAAAUUGGGCAGCGCUACAAUUGAAGUGAUUGAAAUAAACAAUUUUAAAAUUCUUUGUCAAUUUAUUAAAAAACAGAUAAAACAUGAAUAUUGUUCUCUCCUCAGAAUUAACUAGUAGAAAAAUACAUGCAUGCACCUUAAUCAGUUCAUACCCAUCUGUAUAUUUAGACCAUUAAGUGUCUGUUCCUGAAUAUAUACCCAGGUAAGUCCACAAGUCCCUCAGAAGU